GGAUCCAUAGCUCAGCGGUAGAGCAGCGGGCUCAUAACUCGUUGGUCGUAGGUUCGAAUCCUACUGGAUCCACUA
RNAcentral lists this transfer RNA (75 nucleotides) under Armatimonadetes bacterium CG07_land_8_20_14_0_80_40_9. RNAcentral's name for it is "tRNA-Met". It matches the Rfam family "tRNA". From Rfam's summary of the family: Transfer RNA (tRNA) molecules are approximately 80 nucleotides in length. Lineage: Bacteria; Bacillati; Armatimonadota. The record is from RNAcentral.